AUACUUACCUGGAUGGGGUCUGUGGGCGAUCAAGAAGGUCCAUGGCCUAGAUUGGUGACCUCCAUUGCACUUCGGAGGGGUGCCUGCUUAAGAUAUUUCCAAGUGGGAUAGUCUACAUCAUAAUUUGUUGCUUAGGGGGGUACGGCGUUCGCGGGGCCCCUG
Molecule: non-coding RNA, 162 nt
Organism: Thalictrum thalictroides
Lineage: Eukaryota; Viridiplantae; Streptophyta; Magnoliopsida; Ranunculales; Ranunculaceae
Source: the annotation of a GenBank genome assembly